Saccostrea cuccullata (small rock oyster) is the source of this 1091-nucleotide long non-coding RNA. RefSeq lists it as uncharacterized. Lineage: Eukaryota; Metazoa; Mollusca; Bivalvia; Ostreida; Ostreidae. The record is from RefSeq and is a predicted model, not a curated record. The transcript has 3 exons.
GGCAGAAGAUGAGACUGACCUCAAUCUGUCAACAAGACUGUGGAGAAGAAAGACUAACUACUGUCUAUCCUGAAAUUGAUGGCAGGGGGUUAUGCUGGCAUUGAUCCUAUUUCCAAGAGAUAGCAGGCUGUCAUGAUUCAGUGAGAGUCCAAUGAGAUCAACUUGAACCUGUAAAUAAAGGCAGAGUGGCAUCAAUAUAUUGUUUCUGUAAUAGCUAGCAGACAAAUAUGCUUCAACAAUAGUGCAGAGAGUAAGGUUUGGACUGCAGCCUGAUGUAGUCGUAAUGAAGAAACUAAAAAGUCAGGACUCAGAAGAACUUUUUCUUCAAAUUGGACACAUUAGAUAGCUUGGAGAAUCAAAUGGACAGUGCUCAGUGUACAUUAUUGUUAACAAAGUGAUGGACACAUUAAAUAGAUAAACUCACAAAAGUCAAUGUACAAUAACAAGGUUUAAUUCAUUGUUAUUAAUAAAGCCAUGGACACACUAAACAGCUUAAUGCAAAGAAUCCAAUGGACAGUGCUGAUGAGUUCAUUGUUAUCAACAAAGUGAUGGACACACUAAAUAGCUUAACUCAAAGAAUUUAAUGGACCGUGCUGAGUAUGUUGUUAUUAAUAAAAAAUUAGACACACUAUGAACUUGCUAAACUCAUCGAAUUCAAUGGAUGUGCUGAGGUCAUUAACAAAUAAUUUCAUAUGAACUUUGUGGAUAUAGUCCCUGUGCUCUGCCUCUAAUUUGUAUUGUUCCAAUGGAUUUUUGAGCUUGAAUCCGUAUUUCAUUUGUUUGUUACAUUUACUAGCUGCAGAACUGUAGCUCUCCGAGAUUUUUCUCAAGCAGAGAGCUACAGUUCUGAAGCUAUACAUUAACCUGCAAAAUAUCAACACCACAACAUCAAAUGGAACUGAAUAUGUUUUUUAAUUACAAUUAAAUUAACUUAAAAUGUUGAAUAAACUGUGUUUUAAUUAUUUUCAUGUUAUGCACAAUGUGCAGCUGAAAACAGUCAUACUUGACUUAGGUUAUCUAAGAUUCAUUUUUUCCUUCUCUAGUUUUUCCUGAUAAACAUGACAAGUGAUGCAGUUCUAAUUGUUAUGUAU